AUACCUUUCUCGGCCUUUUGGCUAAGAUCAAGUGUAGUAUCUGUUCUUAUCAGUUUAAUAUCUGAUACGUGGGCCAUCGGCCCACAUGAUAUUAAAUUUAUUUUUCUAGGGGGAGGGUCCAUCUCAAUAGCUUGCUAUUGGGGCCCUUGAGCGUUGCCCUUGCGUUGCACUACUGUUUGGGCCUUGGCGCACCCCUC
Molecule: non-coding RNA, 197 nt
Organism: Cucumis sativus (cucumber)
Lineage: Eukaryota; Viridiplantae; Streptophyta; Magnoliopsida; Cucurbitales; Cucurbitaceae
Source: Rfam